GUGCCCGUUUGUCAUGUAGGGGUACAAUCAGUACGUACAUCUCGGCAUUGUCAUUUCUAUCAUAUGCACAUCCAGUUCUAAUGUAUAAAAGUCCUAAUGCAUCAGUUAAAUAUCACAAAGCAUUACAUCACGGUACUCUUUAUGUUCUCAACAAGUGCCUUAGGGGCUGAUGUGGGCAUACCCAUUAUAUUUUGAAGGGGAUGGGCCUCCUGUCUGCUGUGUAAGGGCAGUAAGUCACACUAAUCCCUCCGUCUUGACCCCUCCAUGCCUUAUUUCCCAGCGCUACGGGUAGGAUAGGUCCCGUGUCCUGGUUCGGGUGCUGUCUCUCACUGCGGGCCUAUUCGUUUUAGGGGGGGUAGUUACCCAGGUGGAACGUCACUUGUAGCCCCACACAUUACGUCUCCCUUGCUGGAUCCAUUUGUAAAAUUCUCUAGGGGGGUUUGACUGGGUCUCACUAAUUGUCAGGUCCAGUCAUGAACGUUCAC
This is a non-coding RNA of Pelobates cultripes (western spadefoot toad), 485 nucleotides long. The record is from the annotation of a GenBank genome assembly. NCBI's taxonomy places the organism in Eukaryota, Metazoa, Chordata, Amphibia, Anura, Pelobatidae.